AGAAUCAAAUUAUCUUGUCAUUUCCCUUAGCUUAACGUUCAUGAGUAAUGAAAGAAGAACAAACUCAGCACACAAUCUCUUUUCUACAGGAUUCUCUACUAGCUAUCUAAGCAAAUAUACUUUCUUUCUCUGGUCAUCCUGAUGUAAUCCAGGAAUCUCUUUGACAUUGGUGCACAAAGUUUCUACAAACUCAAAAUAAGGGACAUCCCAUGAAUUUAGGGACAAGAUCAGAAAAAGUACCCAUUGAAAUUGAAGGAGGUCUCUUGCCCUCAACUACUCUGAGUCCAUGUGCCCUCCAGUCUUCAAGGUUCAGUCCAGUCUGGUUUAGACUGCAAGAGGAAGUACUGAGAGCCAGAUGGGAACCUGUGACUUCUUUGAUACUUCUACUCAAAGUGGUAAGGUAAUUUUUACCAAAGUAAUACACAUAAUAAUUGAUCAAGGAGAGUUUGAACUUGGAAUUUCUGUCUCAGUUCUUUUCUCAGUUCUGUCUCAGUAACUUUUCUACCAUACUAGAGUCUCCGAAGUAUCUCUAUGAAAUUUACUGUUAAGAUUUUAGGUGACUGAUAUCCCCUUUUUCCUUUUUUAAAGGUAUAAAAAAAAUCAACUUACCCCCACAGAAUAUUGGAUAACAGCUUGAUGAAUUCUUGGUUAUUAUAACAACAUUGCUUAGUCCAACAUUGCUCAUUAUAUAUAUAUUUUAAAAUAGUAGCUGGAAUGUUGAUGAUAAAUCUUGUAACCUUUGUAUCUUAUACAAAAUAUCUGAAUGCUAGCAAGAAUAAGUUCCAAGGGAAUGGUAUCUGAGAUAGAUUAUCAUAAAGUUGCAUGGCAUGUUGACUUUAUUAACAGUGCUUUUACAAUAUGCCUCAUGCAAUAUAUAGAACAAAUAGCAUACAUAAUGAAAAUUUAUUAUAGAAUAUGACAGGCAAUUUAUUAUAAUGGAGACUGGGAUGAUGUCCUAGCCAAGAAGAUCUGGUUUCAAGUUGAUCUAUGAUACAUACUGGUUAUGAGAUACUGGGCCACCUAACCUGUCAAUGUUCAAACAUUUAUGUAGGACUAUAACUUGAAGAAAAUGUGUUGGGAGAAAAAAGUGUUCCUCAUUGGUGUAUUUCCUAUACUGAUGAAAUUAUUUUUCCAGUCCCCAUCCCAUCUGAAUUCUAGAAUAUAAUAUAAUGCAAUUAUAUAGUUCUUUAGAAUUUACGUGCCACCCUCAUCUCACAAUACAGUACUUUGCACAUUAGGGAAAAAAUGAAAACAAUGAGAUUCAGAAAUUUACUCACUUUCAGAACACCAAACAAUGACACUUACAGAGCCAGAACUCCAAACCAUUUAGUCUGACUGAUUCAGUAUUUGUUCCCAUGUUCCAUAUCUCAUGAAAUUUUAGCAUUUCAAAUAAAGAAGAGAAAAAGAAAGUGAAAAACA
RNAcentral lists this long non-coding RNA (1419 nucleotides) under Monodelphis domestica (gray short-tailed opossum). Its description in RNAcentral is "lncRNA (ENSMODG00000049493.1)". The record is from RNAcentral. Lineage: Eukaryota; Metazoa; Chordata; Mammalia; Didelphimorphia; Didelphidae.